UGAGAGUUUGAUCCUGGCUCAGAACAAACGCUGGCGGCGUGCCUAACACAUGCAAGUCGUACGAGAAAAUCGGCUUCGGCCGGUGAGUAAAGUGGCGCACGGGUGAGUAACGCGUGGAUAAUCUGCCCUUCAGCUGGGAAUAACUUACCGAAAGGUGGGCUAAUACCCAAUAAUACUAUCUUCACCCCGGUGGGAUAGUCAAAGAUGGCCUCUAUUUAUAAGCUUUCACUGAAGGAUGAGUCCGCGUACCAUUAGCUUGUUGGUAGGGUAAUGGCCUACCAAGGCCCUGAUGGUUAGCUGGUCUGAGAGGAUGAUCAGCCACACUGGAACUGAGACACGGUCCAGACUCCUACGGGAGGCAGCAGUGAGGAAUCUUGCGCAAUGGGGGAAACCCUGACGCAGCAACGCCGCGUGAGUGAGGAAGGUCUUCGGAUCGUAAAGCUCUGUCAGGUGGGAAGAAACGCAUGGGAGUUAACAGCUCUUAUGCUUGACGGUACCGCCAGAGGAAGCACCGGCUAACUCCGUGCCAGCAGCCGCGGUAAUACGGGGGGUGCAAGCGUUGUUCGGAAUUAUUGGGCGUAAAGAGCGUGUAGGCGGCUGGAUAAGUCAGAUGUGAAAGCCCUGGGCUUAACCCAGGAAGUGCAUUUGAUACUGUUCAGCUGGAGUAAGGGAGAGGAAAGUGGAAUUCCUGGUGUAGAGGUGAAAUUCGUAGAUAUCAGGAGGAACACCUGUGGCGAAGGCGACUUUCUGGCCCUAUACUGACGCUGAGACGCGAGAGCGUGGGUAGCAAACAGGAUUAGAUACCCUGGUAGUCCACGCCGUAACGAUGUUCACUAGGUGUUGGGGGGUAUUGACCCCCUCAGUGCCGUAGCUAACGCAUUGAGUGAACCGCCUGGGGAGUACGGUCGCAAGACUAAAACUCAAAGGAAUUGACGGGGGCCCGCACAAGCG
Molecule: ribosomal RNA, 951 nt
Filed under: uncultured bacterium
Lineage: Bacteria
Description: bacterial SSU rRNA
Rfam family: Bacterial small subunit ribosomal RNA
Source: RNAcentral